UACGUAGGGUGCAAGCGUUGUCCGGAAUUAUUGGGCGUAAAGAGCUCGUAGGCGGUCUGUCGCGUCGGCUGUGAAAUCCCGAGGCUCAACCUCGGGUCUGCAGUCGAUACGGGCAAACUGGAGUGUUGCAGGGGAGACUGGAAUUCCUGGUGUAGCGGUGAAAUGCGCAGAUAUCAGGAGGAACACCGGUGGCGAAGGCGGGUCUCUGGGCAACAACUGACGCUGAGGAGCGAAAGCUGGGGGAGCGAACAGG
This 253-nucleotide ribosomal RNA is filed under the name uncultured bacterium. Its description in RNAcentral is "partial 16S ribosomal RNA". It matches the Rfam family "Bacterial small subunit ribosomal RNA", at positions 524 to 776 of the family's 1533-position model. The record is from RNAcentral.